This is a non-coding RNA of Chthoniobacter flavus Ellin428, 170 nucleotides long. Lineage: Bacteria; Pseudomonadati; Verrucomicrobiota; Spartobacteria; Chthoniobacterales; Chthoniobacteraceae. The record is from Rfam.
GCGACCGCGAGGUCGUGGCUGAAAGAAGUCGCAGGCAAAACUCCGACCGCAGGAAAACGAACUGGCAGCGAGGCCGGGCGUGGGCGACGAGCGUGCGAGCAACCGCGAAGUCCGAAGUCCAUCCAGACACGUCAGGUAGAGCCAGGCGGCGCGGAGGGAGAGUUCAGGUU